UGGGGUGUCGUCAAGUGGUUAAGACACGGGUUUUUGGAGCCCGCAUUCGGAGGUUCGAAUCCUCCCACCCCAGCCA
RNAcentral lists this transfer RNA (76 nucleotides) under Deltaproteobacteria bacterium. RNAcentral's name for it is "tRNA-Gln". It matches the Rfam family "tRNA". Rfam says of the family: Transfer RNA (tRNA) molecules are approximately 80 nucleotides in length. Their secondary structure includes four short double-helical elements and three loops (D, anti-codon, and T loops). Further hydrogen bonds mediate the characteristic L-shaped molecular structure. tRNAs have two regions of fundamental functional importance: the anti-codon, which is responsible for specific mRNA codon recognition, and the 3' end, to which the tRNAs corresponding amino acid is attached (by aminoacyl-tRNA synthetases). tRNAs cope with the degeneracy of the genetic code in two manners: having more than one tRNA (with a specific anti-codon) for a particular amino acid; and 'wobble' base-pairing, i.e. permitting non-standard base-pairing at the 3rd anti-codon position. RNAcentral also lists the same sequence under 1 other name. Lineage: Bacteria; Pseudomonadati; Myxococcota; Myxococcia. The record is from RNAcentral.